AGAGAGAGACAUGCGCGCAUAUCAAUAAGCGGAGGAAAAGAAACUAACAAGGAUUCCCCUAGUAACGGCGAGUGAAGCGGGAAGAGCUCAAAUUUGAAAUCUUAAAGGGUUUCCCUUUACGAAUUGUAGUUUAAAGAAGUGUUUUCCUGUUGAGGUUUUGGUAAAAGUUCUUUGGAAUAGGACAUCAUAGAGGGUGAGAAUCCCGUAUUUGACCUUUACUUUCAACCUUGUGAUACACUUUCAAAGAGUCGGAUUGUUUGGGAAUGCAGUCCAAAAUGGGUGGUAAAUUUCAUCUAAAGCUAAAUAUUGGCGAGAGACCGAUAGCGAACAAGUACCGUGAGGGAAAGAUGAAAAGAACUUUGAAAAGAGAGUUAAACAGUACGUGAAAUUGUCAAAAGGGAAGCGUUUGACACCAGUGUUGUUUUUCUGAAAAUCAAUUAAAGAACUGUUUAUGCUAAGUUGUUUAGACUUUAUCAGCUAACUGUUUAGUUUUGAGCUUUUCUUUAAUGCACUUUUCAGUUAACAAGUCAACAUCAAUUUCUUUUGCUGUAAAAAAGCUUGAGGAAGGUGGCUUGAGAUUCGUCUUAAGUGUUUAUAGCCUCUUGCCUAUGCAGUCGGAGAGAUUGAGGUCUGCAGCGUAGAUCCUUCGGGGCUAAAUGCAUUUGUGCUAAGUUAUAGCAUUUUAUAGACAACUUGUUGACUAUGAUUUGUCUUGUAGCUUACUCGCUUAUGUUAUUUUACCUACGCUUAGGAUGUUGAGCGCAUGUCUCUCUCU
This 775-nucleotide ribosomal RNA is filed under the name uncultured Neocallimastigales. Its description in RNAcentral is "partial large subunit ribosomal RNA". It matches the Rfam family "Eukaryotic large subunit ribosomal RNA", at positions 23 to 616 of the family's 3401-position model. The record is from RNAcentral. Lineage: Eukaryota; Fungi; Neocallimastigomycota; Neocallimastigomycetes; Neocallimastigales.